RNAcentral lists this ribosomal RNA (587 nucleotides) under uncultured bacterium. Its description in RNAcentral is "partial 16S ribosomal RNA". It matches the Rfam family "Bacterial small subunit ribosomal RNA", at positions 355 to 1375 of the family's 1533-position model. The record is from RNAcentral.
UGGGGAAUUUUGGACAAUGGGCGAAAGCCUGAUCCAGCAAUGCCGCGUGUGUGAAGAAGGCCUUCGGGUUGUAAAGCACUUUUGUCCGGAAAGAAAUCCUUGGCUCUAAUACAGUCGGGGGAUGACGGUACCGGAAGAAUAAGCACCGGCUAACUACGUGCCAGCAGCCGCGGUAAUACGUAGGGUGCAAGCGUUAAUCGGAAUUACUGGGCGUAAAGCGUGCGCAGGCGGUUUUGUAAGACCGAUGUGAAAUCCCCGGGCUAACCUGGGAACUGCAUUGCGUACUGGCAAGGCUAGAGUAUGGCAGAGGGGGGUAGAAUUCCACGUGUAGCAGUGAAAUGCGUAGAGAUGUGGAGGAAUACCGAUGGCGAAGGCAGCCCCCUGGGCCAAUACUGACGCUCAUGCACGAAAGCGUGGGGAGCAAAACAGGAUUAGAUACCCUGGUAGUCCACGCCCUAAAACGAUGUCAACUAGUUGUUGGGGAUUCAUUUCCUUAGUAACGUAGCUAACGCGUGAAGUUGACCGCCUGGGGAGUACGGUCGCAAGAUUAAAACUCAAAGGAAUUGACGGGGUCAUAGCUGUUUCCU